RNAcentral lists this long non-coding RNA (848 nucleotides) under Zonotrichia albicollis (white-throated sparrow). RNAcentral's name for it is "lncRNA (ENSZALG00000003662.1)". Lineage: Eukaryota; Metazoa; Chordata; Aves; Passeriformes; Passerellidae. The record is from RNAcentral.
CUAGCCAAUGUACUCUACCAGCAUUUCAAUGCCUGCUAGUCAAUAACAUUUAUUACAGUAGAAGGGAAACCUGUGAUGAUCUUCCUAAAUGCUGUGCCGGGUGAAUAACAAACACAAGAAGUGUCUUGACUGGAUAGAGGAUCUUCACACCUUUUGACAGAUGCACUAUAUACACAGAAAAUGUAGCGAUAUUUUUCCAGCCAUGAGUCUCAGCCUCUGUAUGAACAUCAAAGGAAACAUACCCAGAAUAUUCAGCUAGAUGAAGAGUGUGAAUUCAUCACAGAUUCCUCCUCAGCAUCUGCCUAGACUUAAAAUAAGCAGAUCCAGAAAGAUUACUGCGUCAGAAGCGGGGAGAAUCCUGCCGAAGGUGAACUGUCUCAUUCCUGAAUGCUGCCAAGAGGUGAUGAGCAGACAUGCAGCAGCCUUCCUGCUGGACUGGAAUACAUAAGCUUGGGACAAGAGACAGCCUUACAGGUGUUGUCUCUCUCUGCACUGAUUAUAACUGGGUGAGUGACUCAGAAAGGACACUACAGGGCAGCUAAAACCAAGCUGAAGGAGUUUCUGCUCUUACUAAACAAGUUUUGACCUUGGAUUCUUCACAGUUGACAGCAGCCAUGGAGCCCUUCAGAGCCUUUGGAGGCAUCUCCUGAUCAAUGAGGCACAAUGAGCUCAAAGCUUCUGCCCAAAGGCACACAAGUGUCUUCAAGUGUUCUGUUUUCAGGAGCAUCCAGAGCUUAAGAACAACCUCUUUAAACAUGGGUUGUAUGUCAAAAAUGUGAUAUGAUCUUGGACAUCUGGCAAGUAUAUGUAUAUGUUUAAUUGAGAGAAUAAACAUUCCUCAAAAAUCA